CGGGUGCGUAACGCGUAUGCAACUUACCUUAUGCAGGGGGAUAGCCCGUGGAAACGCGGAUUAAUAUCCCAUAGAUCAGUAAUAUCGCAUGGUAUAACUGGUAAAACUCAGGUGGCAUAAGAUGGGCAUGCGUCUGAUUAGCUAGUUGGUAGGGUAACGGCCUACCAAGGCGACGAUCAGUAGGGGUUCUGAGAGGAUUAACCCCCACACUGGUACUGAGACACGGACCAGACUCCUACGGGAGGCAGCAGUGAGGAAUAUUGGUCAAUGGGCGCAAGCCUGAACCAGCCAUCCCGCGUGAAGGAAGAAGGCCCUACGGGUUGUAAACUUCUUUUCUGUUUGAAGAAUAAGCUCGUCGAGACGAGUGAUGCCGGUAGGACAGGAAUAAGCAUCGGCUAACUCCGUGCCAGCAGCCGCGGUAAUACGGAGGAUGCAAGCGUUAUCCGGAUUUAUUGGGUUUAAAGGGUGCGCAGGUGGUUUAAUAAGUCAGUGGUGAAAGUCUGGCGCUUAACGUUAGGAUUGCCAUUGAUACUGUUAGACUUGAAUAUGGAUGAGGUAGGCGGAAUGUGUAGUGUAGCGGUGAAAUGCUUAGAUAUUACACAGAACACCGAUUGCGAAGGCAGCUUACUAAUCCAUCAUUGACGCUGAGGCACGAAAGCGUGGGGAUCAAACAGGAUUAGAUACCCUGGUAGUCCACGCGGUAAACGAUGAUUACUCGCUGUUUGCGAUAUACAGUAAGCGGCUAAGCGAAAGCGUUAA
RNAcentral lists this ribosomal RNA (759 nucleotides) under uncultured bacterium. RNAcentral describes it as "bacterial SSU rRNA". It matches the Rfam family "Bacterial small subunit ribosomal RNA", at positions 103 to 863 of the family's 1533-position model. The record is from RNAcentral.